This 95-nucleotide transfer RNA is filed under the name Paraburkholderia domus. The record is from RNAcentral. Lineage: Bacteria; Pseudomonadati; Pseudomonadota; Betaproteobacteria; Burkholderiales; Burkholderiaceae.
UCUCAGUGGUGAAACCGGCUCGGUCAAACGGGCUUUGAAAAGGCUCGAGCGGAGUGCGGGGAAACUCGCACGCUCCGUUCCACGGGGGCGGCGAC